RNAcentral lists this ribosomal RNA (497 nucleotides) under uncultured bacterium. RNAcentral's name for it is "partial 16S ribosomal RNA". It matches the Rfam family "Bacterial small subunit ribosomal RNA", at positions 28 to 507 of the family's 1533-position model. The record is from RNAcentral.
GACGAACGCUGGCGGCGUGCCUAAUACAUGCAAGUUGAGCGAAGAGGGGAGGUGCUUGUACCAACUAGGUGAGCGGCGGACGGGUGAGUAACGCGUGGAGAACCUACCUAUAAGACGGGGACAACAUCGGGAAACGGGUGCUAAUACCGCAUAAAAAAUUGAAACACAAGGUUUAAGAGUGAAAGAUGGAAUUGCAGCACCCAAAGAUGAUCUCGCGGUGUAUUAGGUAGUUGGUUAAGGAAAGGCUCUACAAGGCGAUGGUAGAUAGGCCGACCGGGAGGGUGAUCCGCCCCCUUGGGAAUGGGACACCGCUCAAACCCCCACGGGAGGGAGCAGUAAGGAAUCCUCGGCAAAUGGCGAAAGUCUGACCGGGGCACCCCGCGUGAGGUAAUAAAGGUUUCGGAUCGUAAAAACUCUUUGAUAGGGGAGAACCAAGGGGGGAAGGGAAUGCGCACCACUUGACGGUACCUAAUCAGAAAGCCACGGCUAACUACGUG